This 424-nucleotide ribosomal RNA is filed under the name uncultured prokaryote. RNAcentral describes it as "bacterial SSU rRNA". It matches the Rfam family "Bacterial small subunit ribosomal RNA", at positions 355 to 796 of the family's 1533-position model. The record is from RNAcentral.
UCGGGAAUUUUGCUCAAUGGGCGAAAGCCUGAAGCAGCAACGCCGCGUGAGGGAUGAAGGCCUUCGGGUUGUAAACCUCUUUUCUCAGGGAAGAUGAUGACGGUACCUGAGGAAUAAGCCACGGCUAACUACGUGCCAGCAGCCGCGGUAAUACGUAGGUGGCAAGCGUUGUCCGGAUUUACUGGGCGUAAAGAGCGCGCAGGCGGCCGAAUAAGUCGAAUGUGAAAGCCCCCGGCUCAACUGGGGAUGGUCAUUCGAUACUGUUCGGCUUGAAGAUAGGAGAGGGAAGCGGAAUUUCAGGUGUAGUGGUGAAAUGCGUAGAUAUCUGAAGGAACACCAGUGGCGAAGGCGGCUUUCUGGCCUAUUCUUGACGCUGAGGCGCGAAAGCUAGGGGAGCGAACGGGAUUAGAUACCCCCGUAGUCC